RNAcentral lists this ribosomal RNA (497 nucleotides) under uncultured bacterium. Its description in RNAcentral is "partial 16S ribosomal RNA". It matches the Rfam family "Bacterial small subunit ribosomal RNA", at positions 28 to 507 of the family's 1533-position model. The record is from RNAcentral.
GAUGAACGCUGGCGGCGUGCCUAAUACAUGCAAGUCGAGCGAACAGACGAGGAGCUUGCUCCUCUGACGUUAGCGGCGGACGGGUGAGUAACACGUGGAUAACCUACCUAUAAGACUGGGAUAACUUCGGGAAACCGGCGCUAAUACCGGAUAAUAUAUUGAACCGCAUGGUUCAAUAGUGAAAGACGGUUUUGCUGUCACUUAUAGAUGGAUCCGCGCCGCAUUAGCUAGUUGGUAAGGUAACGGCUUACCAAGGCAACGAUGCGUAGCCGACCUGAGAGGGUGAUCGGCCACACUGGAACGGAGACACGGUCCAGACUCCUACGGGAGGCAGCAGUAGGGAAUCUGCCGCAAUGGGCGAAAGCCUGACGGAGCAACGCCGCGUGAGUGAUGAAGGUCUUCGGAUCGUAAAACUCUGUUAUUAGGGAAGAACAAAUGUGUAAGUAACUAUGCACGUCUUGACGGUACCUAAUCAGAAAGCCACGGCUAACUACGUG